Molecule: long non-coding RNA, 607 nt
Organism: Melanotaenia boesemani (Boeseman's rainbowfish)
Lineage: Eukaryota; Metazoa; Chordata; Actinopteri; Atheriniformes; Melanotaeniidae
Exons: 3
Source: RefSeq, a predicted model, not a curated record
AAAUUACUUAUGAAGUCAAGCCCUUGGCCAGUGUUUACACUCAGGAAGCCCAGGGUAAAGCCACUAAGGCUUACAUGGAACAGUUGGUAGAAAUAGCCAGAUUGAGUGGGAAAUCAGUGGAACAGAUGUUAAAGGAAGAGCUCUCCACCCUGUCUCUGCCUACUGCUUCUUCUCAGGUUUGUCAUGAUUCCUCAGUUGAGCAGCACCCACAACCAGACCCACCUGUGCCAGGAGCUGUUUCUUCUCCUCCAGUCCCUCAGCUGGCAACACUUCCAGAUUCCUCAGUCUUGAAACCUCCUGUUGAUCAUCCUCAUUCUCAGACUGACGUAACUUUGAGUAAAAACCUGACCAAUCCCAGUGUUCCACCAGCUCCUCCAGUCUUAGCUGGCGGUUUCACCCAACCGGUUAUUGAUGUAAAUCCGCCCAGUGUUCAGCGGGUGGUGGUUGAGCACGUUGUGCGUAACAGUGAAAACUUGCCACAGUCUAUUGCACCAGGAAGACUUCGUGCCUUCUCAGGAAGAAGUGUACGUCCUAAUAAUGAAGCUGAUUAUGACACAUGGCGUGCUAGUGUUGAAGUCCUCAUUAAAGAUCCUUCAGUUUCUGAUUU